AUGUAUCAUAAGAUCAUACAUGGGCAGGACAACAAACUUUUGGAGGAUGCUCCAGAUGCUACUACUAGCACUUUAUUAUUGCCUGAUUUUAUUUGUGAGCAGGUUACAUCGCUGCACGUGUAUGAUAACCCGUCUAUCACCAGUGUCCCUGCAUCUCCCCACGGAUUAGUAUUGGAUAGUCUAAUAUGGUGCCGGGUAGAGAGGUGCCCCAAGUUGCACACUGUCUUUACUGUUCCUCAGGGCCCUUUUUGUCUGGAGACAUUCUGGGCGUCCCAGCUUCUCUCCGCAGUCUACAUCUGGGACAAACCAGUUAAAAGUAAGUUCAAACACAUCGAAAUCUUGCACCUGGACUACUGCCCCAGGCUUGUACAUGUGCUCCCCAUGUCCAUAUGGAAGAGAGGCACCACCUUUUCUAGCCUGGAGACCAUUGAGAUACUGUACUGCAGUGACCUCAGGGAGAUAGUGUACUGCGGUGACCUCAGGGAGGUCUUCCCUUUGGGCCCUGAGCAUCAACAACAGGAUAUAAUUCUCGAAUUUCCCAAGCUGAGGCACAUCCACCUGCACGAGCUCCCUACGUUGCAGUGUAUCUGUGGGCGCAGGAUGUCCGCGCCUAAACUCGAGACUAUCAAGAUCAGGGGCUGCUGGAGCCUUAGGCGUCUGCCUGCCGUUGGACGUGACACUAAACCACCCACGGUGGACUGUGAGAAGGAAUGGUGGGACAACCUGGAGUGGGACGCGUUGGAGAAGUACCACCACCCUUCCCUCUACGAGCCGAGCCACUCGCUAUACUACAAGAAGGCCCAGCUGCCCAGAGGCACCGUACUCAGGUGA
RNAcentral lists this ribosomal RNA (831 nucleotides) under Triticum aestivum (bread wheat). RNAcentral's name for it is "partial small subunit ribosomal RNA". Lineage: Eukaryota; Viridiplantae; Streptophyta; Magnoliopsida; Poales; Poaceae. The record is from RNAcentral.